GGGAAACCUGGUGUGCUGCAGUCCAUGGGGUUGUAAAGAGUCAGAUAUGACUGAGCGACUUAACAACAACGGAUAGCACACGCUGUCAGCUUUGUGAGCCGUGCACUGCCACACGAUGACUGGCCUCUGCCUCCUCAACAGGACGGCAGCCAGGGAAGGCAGGAGCAGGACUCAGUGUGGAGGGGAGACUCCAGUUACCUGAUGUUUUCAGAGCCCCAAGCUUCAGGAUAGGAGCCCGAGCAGCUGCCAUGAGGGGCGCAGUGUCUGGCGUGCAGUUUCCAGGGUACACUGUCCAGAGUGCAGUGCCCUCGGUGCUGGGCAUAGGGGCUCAGGGGCACUGGUGAAACCGCACUGGGCCACAGGCCAGGCUGGGUCGGCAGUGUGGGGCGGCCACCUCCUGUCUCUUCUGUCCUCGUGCUGUUUUGCUGCCUUCACAGCCCAGGGAGGGCACGUGCAUGUUAAGUCACUUCAGUCACGUCCCACUCUUCGUGACCGCAUGGACUGUAGCCAGGCUUCUCUGUCCAUGGGAUUUUCCAGGUAAGAAGACUGGAGUGGGUUGCCAUGCCCUCCUCCCAGGGAUCUUUCCAACCCAGGUAUCUCUUACGUCUCCUGCAUUGGCAAGAGGCUUCUUUACCAAUAGCACCACCUGGGAGCGGGGCCCAUGCUGAACUGGUGUGGCUUGUCCGCAGCAAAAGGAGCCCGUCACAAAGAGC
Long non-coding RNA from Bos taurus (domestic cattle), 713 nucleotides. The record is from Ensembl. NCBI's taxonomy places the organism in Eukaryota, Metazoa, Chordata, Mammalia, Artiodactyla, Bovidae.